CUACGGGUGGCUGCAGUGAGGAAUAUUGCACAAUGGAGGAAACUCUGAUGCAGCAACGCCGCGUGGAGGAUGACGCAUUUCGGUGUGUAAACUCCUUUUAUAUGUCAAGAAAAUGACGGUAGCAUAUGAAUAAGCCCCGGCUAACUCCGUGCCAGCAGCCGCGGUAAUACGGAGGGUGCAAGCGUUACUCGGAAUCACUGGGCGUAAAGGACGCGUAGGCGGGAUAUCAAGUCAGGUGUGAAAUCCUACAGCUUAACUGCAGAACUGCACUUGAAACUUCCAAUCUAGAGUAUGGGAGGGGUAGAUGGAAUUAGUGGUGUAGGGGUAAAAUCCGUAGAUAUCACUAGGAAUACCUAAAGCGAAGGCGAUCUCCUGGAACAUUACUGACGCUAAGGCGUGAAAGCGUGGGGAGCGGACAGGAUUAGAUACCCGUGUAGUC
This 439-nucleotide ribosomal RNA is filed under the name uncultured bacterium. RNAcentral's name for it is "partial 16S ribosomal RNA". It matches the Rfam family "Bacterial small subunit ribosomal RNA", at positions 339 to 795 of the family's 1533-position model. The record is from RNAcentral.